This 476-nucleotide ribosomal RNA is filed under the name uncultured organism. RNAcentral describes it as "partial 16S ribosomal RNA". It matches the Rfam family "Bacterial small subunit ribosomal RNA", at positions 329 to 801 of the family's 1533-position model. The record is from RNAcentral.
ACGUACACUCCUACGGGAGGCAGCAGUGAGGAAUCUUGGACAAUGGGUGGAAGCCUGAUCCAGCCAUCCCGCGUGCAGGAAGACGGCCCUAUGGGUUGUAAACUGCUUUUAUCUGGGGAUAAACCUACUUACGUGUAAGUAGCUGAAGGUACCAGAAGAAUAAGCACCGGCUAACUCCGUGCCAGCAGCCGCGGUAAUACGGAGGGUGCAAGCGUUAUCCGGAUUUAUUGGGUUUAAAGGGUCCGUAGGCGGACUGAUAAGUCAGUGGUGAAAUCCGACAGCUUAACUGUCGAACUGCCAUUGAUACUGUUAGUCUUGAGUAAGGUUGAAGUGGCUGGAAUAAGUAGUGUAGCGGUGAAAUGCAUAGAUAUUACUUAGAACACCAAUUGCGAAGGCAGGUCACUAAGUCUUAACUGACGCUGAUGGACGAAAGCGUGGGGAGCGAACAGGAUUAGAAACCCCGGUAGUCCCAUGAU